AGUGAACGCUGGCGGUAGGCCUAACACAUGCAAGUCGAACGGCAGCACAGUAAGAGCUUGCUCUUACGGGUGGCGAGUGGCGGACGGGUGAGGAAUACAUCGGAAUCUACUUUUUCGUGGGGGAUAACGUAGGGAAACUUACGCUAAUACCGCAUACGACCUACGGGUGAAAGCAGGGGAUCUUUGGACCUUGCGCGAUUGAAUGAGCCGAUGUCGGAUUAGCUAGUUGGCGGGGUAAAGGCCCACCAAGGCGACGAUCCGUAGCUGGUCUGAGAGGGUGAUCAGCCACACUGGAACUGAGACACGGUCCAGACUCCUACGGGAGGCAGCAGUGGGGAAUAUUGGACAAUGGGCGCAAGCCUGAUCCAGCCAUACCGCGUGGGUGAAGAAGGCCUUCGGGUUGUAAAGCCCUUUUGUUGGGAAAGAAAAGCAGCAGGUUAAUACCCCGCUGUUCUGACGGUACCCAAAGAAUAAGCACCGGCUAACUUCGUG
Molecule: ribosomal RNA, 492 nt
Filed under: uncultured bacterium
Lineage: Bacteria
Description: partial 16S ribosomal RNA
Rfam family: Bacterial small subunit ribosomal RNA
Source: RNAcentral